UACGGAGGGUGCAAGCGUUAUCCGGAUUUACUGGGUUUAAAGGGUGCGUAGGUGGGUUGGUAAGUCAGUGGUGAAAUACUUUCGCUUAACGAAGGAACUGCCAUUGAUACUAUCAAUCUUGAAUGUAGUGGAGGUAGGCGGAAUGCGUCAUGUAGCGGUGAAAUGCUUAGAUAUGACGCAGAACACCAAUUGCGAAGGCAGCUUGCUACACUACUAUUGACACUGAGGCACGAAGCGUGGAU
Molecule: ribosomal RNA, 242 nt
Filed under: uncultured bacterium
Lineage: Bacteria
Description: partial 16S ribosomal RNA
Rfam family: Bacterial small subunit ribosomal RNA
Source: RNAcentral